Molecule: ribosomal RNA, 450 nt
Filed under: uncultured bacterium
Lineage: Bacteria
Description: partial 16S ribosomal RNA
Rfam family: Bacterial small subunit ribosomal RNA
Source: RNAcentral
GUGAGGAAUCUUCCGCAAUGGACGAAAGUCUGACGGAGCAACGCCGCGUGAGUGAAGAAGGUUUUCGGAUCGUAAAGCUCUUUCGUUAGGGACGAACGUGCUCUUUGUGAAUAAUGAGGAGUAAUGACGGUACCUAAAUAAGAAGCCACGGCUAACUACGUGCCAGCAGCCGCGGUAAUACGUAGGUGGCAAGCGUUGUCCGGAAUUAUUGGGCGUAAAGCGCGCGCAGGCGGGAUAUCAAGUCUGUCUUAAAAGUGCGAGGCUCAACCUCGUGAGGGGACAGAAACUGGUAUUCUUGAGUGUCGGAGAGGAAAGUGGAAUUCCAAGUGUAGCGGUGAAAUGCGUAGAGAUUUGGAAGAACACCAGUGGCGAAGGCGACUUUCUGGACGAUGUCUGACGCUGAGGCGCGAAAGCUAGGGGAGCGAACGGGAUUAGAAACCCGGGUAGUCC